This 75-nucleotide non-coding RNA is filed under the name Brucella pseudogrignonensis. The record is from RNAcentral. RNAcentral also lists the same sequence under 1 other name. Lineage: Bacteria; Pseudomonadati; Pseudomonadota; Alphaproteobacteria; Hyphomicrobiales; Brucellaceae.
AAGCGAAACGGUCAGCCCUUAAGUGGGCGGCUGUCGUCCUAAGGUCGCGCUUAGGGCCUGAUGAGCUAGCGCAAU